This 29-nucleotide small RNA is filed under the name Bombyx mori (domestic silkworm). Its description in RNAcentral is "ovarian small RNA-24504". Lineage: Eukaryota; Metazoa; Arthropoda; Insecta; Lepidoptera; Bombycidae. The record is from RNAcentral.
UCAAAUGGUACAUCUGACAGCACUGAUUG